AACGAACGCUGGCGGCAGGCCUAACACAUGCAAGUCGAGCGGACCUUUCGGGGUCAGCGGCGGACGGGUGAGUAACGCGUGGGAAUAUGCCCUUCUCUACGGAAUAGUCCUGGGAAACUGGGGGUAAUACCGUAUACGCCCUUUGGGGGAAAGAUUUAUCGGGGAAGGAUUAGCCCGCGUUGGAUUAGGUAGUUGGUGGGGUAAUGGCCUACCAAGCCGACGAUCCAUAGCUGGUUUGAGAGGAUGAUCAGCCACACUGGGACUGAGACACGGCCCAGACUCCUACGGGAGGCAGCAGUGGGGAAUCUUAGACAAUGGGGGCAACCCUGAUCUAGCCAGGCCGCGUGAGUGAUGAAGGCCUUAGGGUUGUAAAGCUCUUUCAGCUGGGAAGAUAAUGACGGUACCAGCAGAAGAAGCCCCGGCUAACUCCGUG
This 433-nucleotide ribosomal RNA is filed under the name uncultured bacterium. RNAcentral's name for it is "partial 16S ribosomal RNA". It matches the Rfam family "Bacterial small subunit ribosomal RNA", at positions 29 to 507 of the family's 1533-position model. The record is from RNAcentral.